UACGGAGGGUGCGAGCGUUGUCCGGAAUCACUGGGCGUAAAGGGCGCGUAGGCGGCCUGAUAAGUAGGGGGUGAAAUCCUGCGGCUUAACCGCAGGGCUGCCUUCUAAACUGUCAGGCUUGAGCACAGUAGAGGCAGGUGGAAUUCCCGGUGUAGCGGUGGAAUGCGUAGAGAUCGGGAAGAACACCAACGGCGAAAGCACUCUGCUGGGCCGAAACUGACACUGAGAGACGAAAGCUAGGGGAGCAAAUGGG
RNAcentral lists this ribosomal RNA (253 nucleotides) under uncultured bacterium. RNAcentral's name for it is "partial 16S ribosomal RNA". It matches the Rfam family "Bacterial small subunit ribosomal RNA", at positions 524 to 776 of the family's 1533-position model. The record is from RNAcentral.